CUCCGGGAGGCAUGAGAGACGGACGGAGAAGGCGAGGCAGAGGCUCCAAGUCCGAGAUUUUUGUCCCUAGCCAGCCAGCCGGUUGCAGGAGUAGCAGCAGCUCCCACUGCAGGCCUUGUGCGGAACUGCACCCUCAUUUAUCCCACCUGAACUGGCCUCAUUGAAGGGGGGGGGGAGAGACCGGAGAGCAAGGAGUACAAACAAAGAGUUGGGGUAGCCUCAACAAUGCUGUGUGGGUGGUUUAUGAGCCUGCCAGGGCAUGAAGAUCUUCCUAAGGUAUACAAAGCAGCUGACAAGGAGAGAAAAACCAUACAUAAUAAGCAUAAGCAAUAUUUGAGGCAGUGGCCAGGAGCGCUUUUUAUCAGUUUUGGCUGAUACUUCAGCUACGUCCAUUUCUGGAGGUAAAUGACCUUAAAACAGUGGUACAUAUGCUCGUAAGCUCCAGGCUUGACUCCUGUAAUGCGCUCUACGUGGGACUGCUUUUGUAUGUAGUCUGGAAACUACAAUUGGUACAGAAUGUGGCAACCAGAUUGGGACAACACGAAGGGACCACAUAACACUGAUUUUAAAAGAACUGCACUGGCUGCUGAUAUGCUUCUGGGCAAAAUACAAAGUGCUGUUUAUUGCCUAUAAAGCCCUUAAUGGCUUGGGCGCAGGGUAUUUAAGAGAGCGCCUUCAGAGAGCAUCAUGAACUCUGCUGCCUAUUAUGAUCUUCUGGAGAGGUCCAGUUAUGGUUGCUGCUGGCUCAUUUGGUGGUGACUCGUGACCGAACCUUCUCUUUGGCUGCCCCAGGGCUUUGGAAUAUGCUCCUUGUUGAACUAAGAACAUCUCCUUCUCUGUUUGUUUUCAGGAAGACCUUCAAGAUAUACCUGUUCUUGCAGACUUUUAACUGGAAUUAAUUUUUAUAACUUGUUUUAUGAAAUUGUUUUAUUGUGGAAUUUUAAUCUGUUUUUAUUUUUAUUUUUAUUGUUUUAUAUUUUGAACACUGCCUAGAGAUGUACAUAUAGGCAGUAUAAAAAUAUGAUGAAUGAAUGGAUAAAUUUCAUUCAUCAGCACUAGCACAUAUAAAUGUGAACACCCUUUCUGGACCACCUUUCCCUAAUAGAAUGGGGGUGGGAUGGUGCAUCCAAACUGCACCUCUAAAUGUGCAACGAGUACCAGAUGCACUGGGAGUCGGGAAGGACAAGUGCAUUCACAGCAUGUGCACACUGUUACCACAUGUACCAGAGCCAGAAGACAAAGUACAGGUGACCCUCGAAUACUGUGGGUUUGGCUUCUCAGUUUCUGUACUUUUGCAGAGUCCAUUAUAGUGACAAGCAGUGGAGGGUCCUGAGGAACUGUUGUGAAAGCUUAGAUAAGGUGAUAUCACAGACGCAUUUCCAUGUCAACACAGUGAUGUUGCAGGAGUGUCUCCAUAUCAGUGUGUUGUGUUGUGGGGACAUAUCCAAGUCAGUGUGGCAAUGUCACGUGAAUGUCUCCAUGUCUAUGUGAAUGGAUUGGCCCCUACCAUGCCUGACCAACAUCAGGACAUUGUUGGUGUGCUGCCCUGUGAUGGUAGGGGGAUGAUUCUGGAGCUGCAUGUUUUGGGUACUUAUUGCUCAUUUUCUCCUUCUGUGUUGUACUAGGCUGUACAACACAGGUUGUUGUACAGCCUAUAGGUUGUACAUAGGAUCCUGACUAACAGAGGCAGUGUCUGUCUAACUGCACCAUUGAAUUUCUUGGUGGCGGCGGGCGGGUGUGUGUGUGAGAAAGACAUGCAAUGAUACCAACCUUGGCAGUAAUCUUACUGUCAUUUAGACAGUUCACCAGUAGGGACACUUAAGGAGUGCCUUCUUAUUUGCCUCAGUGAAUGUUCUUUCAAACCCCAUCCACUAGCCAAAUGGUCAUUAAAUAUCUCUUGGACUCCGGGGCAUUUCCUGGAGAAAGGGCAUUACUGAUACACCAGUUUAAAUGUGCAGUGUUGACAUGCCCUAAUAAGUAUUGAGGAAGUUCACUAAUUUGCAGAUUACACACACACACACACACACAUACUAUCAUACACAAGUUUAUCUCUUUUAUAUUUUAGGGAGAUCUGCCAUCUGGCAAGGACCCAAGGACUCAUGAGAAGAUUGUGGGUAAUGGAAAAAUAACUCACAUUUAAUAUCAGUUCUGAGUUUAUUUCCAUGUAUGUAGGAGAAUGUUUGUUCAGGGCCUGAAGUCGCCUUAGGCAGGGAAAAUACUAUUUUGAGUCACAGAGGCCAUGGGAAUGUUCUGCUGUCAGGCUGCCCACUUGAUUUGUCCCAUGUUUGGGGAGAUUUAAGAGGCAAAUUGAAGGAGCAGCAUUUGAGCACCUGGAUGCUUCAGAAAUAUGACUACUUCAGCUAUAAGGCCUAUCUACAAUCCAUGCCAGCACCAAAUAACUCUGCAGUUUUCAGUGUCCUGCAUUUUGCCACAGAUACUUUGCUAUGCAUGCUGCCCCCCCCAAAAGCUGAGAUAUGCUAAUAGAAAAUAAUAAUUUCCCCUCAUGUUCCUUGUAGAAACACUUAGAAGUAAUUAUUCCAGAAACUUAUGCAGUUUUUUUCUUGGAAUUGGUUACAUUAGUAGUGAACUGUUAUGUUUACCACAAAACAAUUUCAGGCAAUAUAGGUCAUGCAUAAUUGUAUGUUCCAUUAAGAGCUGUAUUUAUCUCUUUCUUACUCAUUUAAUUUGGAGGCAGGAGAAGCCCAUCUUGCAAUAAAUAUCAGCCUGUUAUACCUGG
Molecule: long non-coding RNA, 2737 nt
Organism: Hemicordylus capensis (graceful crag lizard)
Lineage: Eukaryota; Metazoa; Chordata; Lepidosauria; Squamata; Cordylidae
Exons: 3
Source: RefSeq, a predicted model, not a curated record